Molecule: ribosomal RNA, 182 nt
Filed under: uncultured bacterium
Lineage: Bacteria
Description: partial 16S ribosomal RNA
Rfam family: Bacterial small subunit ribosomal RNA
Source: RNAcentral
CAUGAAGUCGGAAUUGCUAGUAAUCGCGGAUCAGCAUGCCGCGGUGAGUACGUUCCCGGGCCUUGUACACACCGCCCGUCACACCAUGGGAGCCGGUAACACCCGAAGUCAGUAGCCUAACAGCAAUGAGGGCGCUGCCGAAGGUGGGAUUGGUGACUGGGGUGAAGUCGUAACAAGGUAUC